This 255-nucleotide ribosomal RNA is filed under the name uncultured bacterium. Its description in RNAcentral is "partial small subunit ribosomal RNA". It matches the Rfam family "Bacterial small subunit ribosomal RNA", at positions 26 to 286 of the family's 1533-position model. The record is from RNAcentral.
AGGACGAACGCUGGCGGCGUGCUUAACACAUGCAAGUCGAGCGGAAAGGCCCUUCGGGGUACUCGAGCGGCGAACGGGUGAGUAACACGUGAGCAACCUGCCCUUAGCUUCGGGAUAGCUCCGGGAAACCGGAAUUAAUACCGAAUAUGACUGCGGCUGACAUCAGCCACGGUGGAAAGUUUUUCGGCUAGGGAUGGACUCGCGGCCUAUCAGCUAGUUGGUGAGGUAACGGCCCACCAAGGCGACGACGGGUAG